AUUCUCACUUUGGUAUUCACGAAGUAAGUGCGUCGCCCCUGCGUGCAAAUAUCAUCUCUUGGAACUUCAAAUGGCUGAUUUGUUAAAUUCCUUAUUAUCUGUUUUUCUUUUUGGAUAUUAGUUCAAAUUGUGAUUAGCUUUUAUGGGAGCAUGCAUUUGUAAAAUGGUAAUACACUCAUGAUACAAGUACUUGUAGGUUUGUGAUAGUAAGACUAGCGUCCAUUUGUCCCUCAAUUAGUACCUCACAGAAGCCACUGGAAAUUGAUGAUUCUUUCUCUAACUCACAAUGAUAACCACUUUUUAAACGAUAAUUGGGUUUACCAAUGAAUACCUUGCUUCAUUACCAUGUAUCUCCAUAAAUUUAUUGUCUCAUCUUCAUGCAUCUGUAUUAGUUCAAUAUUUUUUGCUAAGGACAACUUUUCUUGCAGUAUUUCUGUUGUAUUUAGAUGACUUUGUAAACUGUGAAAUAUGGAAUUCUUGAAUAUUCAUGGAAUUUAUUUGUGUUAUGUGAUGUAUUUUUCCCUUGUUACUUAAAAUUGG
This 540-nucleotide unclassified non-coding RNA is filed under the name Hevea brasiliensis (rubber tree). The record is from RNAcentral. Lineage: Eukaryota; Viridiplantae; Streptophyta; Magnoliopsida; Malpighiales; Euphorbiaceae.